AACGAACGCUGGCGGCAUGCCUAACACAUGCAAGUCGAACGAGACCUUCGGGUCUAGUGGCGCACGGGUGCGUAACGCGUGGGAACCUGCCCUUAGGUUCGGAAUAACUCCCCGAAAGGGGUGCUAAUACCGGAUAAUGUCUUCGGACCAAAGAUUUAUCGCCUUUGGAUGGGCCCGCGUUGGAUUAGCUAGUUGGUAGGGUAAAAGCCUACCAAGGCGACGAUCCAUAGCUGGUCUGCGAGGAUGAUCAGCCAAACUGGGACUGAGACACGGCCCAGACUCCUACGGGAGGCAGCAGUGGGGAAUAUUGGACAAUGGGCGAAAGCCUGAUCCAGCAAUGCCGCGUGAGUGAUGAAGGCCUUAGGGUUGUAAAGCUCUUUUACCCGGGAUGAUAAUGACAGUACCGGGAGAAUAAGCUCCGGCUAACUCCGUG
This 433-nucleotide ribosomal RNA is filed under the name uncultured bacterium. Its description in RNAcentral is "partial 16S ribosomal RNA". It matches the Rfam family "Bacterial small subunit ribosomal RNA", at positions 29 to 507 of the family's 1533-position model. The record is from RNAcentral.